AGAGUUUGAUUAUGGCUCAGGAUAACGUUGGCUGUGUGCCUAAGGUAUGCAAGUCGAACGAUUCUUAUAGUGGCAAACGGGUGAGUAACACGUAGAAACUUGCCUCGAAGUCGGGAAUAGCUCGUCGAAAGACGGGGUAAUAUCCGAUGCUCUAACCACUUCGUGUUUUAGAGUAAAGCUUUUGUGCUUCGAGAGAGGUCUGCGUCCUAUCAGCUAGUUGGUAAGGUAAUGGCUUACCAAGGCUAAGACGGGUAGCUGGUGUGAGAGCACGGUCAGCCACCAUGGAACUGAGACACGGUCCAUACUCCUACGGGAGGCAGCAAUUAGGAAUCUUGCGCAAUGGGGGCAACCCUGACGCAGCGACACAGCGUGGAGGAGGUUCGUUGACUCCUUUUAUAUGGGAUAGAACCAUAUGAAUAAGGACCUGCAACUACGUGCCAGAAGCAUCGGUGAUGCGUAGGGUCCGAACGUUAUCCGGAUUUAUUGGGUGUAAGAGAUGCGUAGGCGGUUUGAUAAGUCUUGAGUUAAAGACCUCGGCUCAACCGAGGAAAAGCUUUCGAUACUAUCAGACUUGAGGCAUAGAGGGGUGAACGGAAUUCCGAGUGGAGUGGUGAAAUACGUUGAUAUUCGGAGGAACAUCAGUGGCGAAGGCGGUUCACUGGCUAUGCCUGACGCUCAGGCUCGAAAGCGUGGGUAGCAAAACGGAUUAGAUACCCGUGUAGUCCACGCUGUAAACUAUGGAUGCUAGGUGUUCGGUACACAGUGCUGAGUGCCGCAGCUAACGCGUUAAGCAUCCCACCUGGGAAGUACGGCCGCAAGGCUAAAACUCAAAUGAAUUGGCGGGGGCCCGCACAAGCGGUGGAGCGUGUGGUUUAAUUCGAUGCUAAGCGAAGGACCUUACCAAGGUACAUGCUGAUAGUAGUGAAUUGAAAGAGGAACACUAGUCACAAGGUGGUGCACGGCCGUCGUCAGCUCGUGCCGUGAGGUGUUGGGUUAAGUCCCGCAACGAGCGCAACCCCUGCUCUUAGUUGCCAGCGGUAAGGCCGGGCACUCUAGGAGGACCGCCAGGCAGAGGGGGAUGACGUCAGGUAUCGUGCCCCUUAUAUCUUGGGCGACACACGCGCUACAAUGGGUUGGACAGAAGGGACCAAGACAGCGAUGUGGAGGAAUCCUCAAACCAACCCCCAGUUCAGAUUGCAGGCUGCAACCCGCCUGCAUGAAGCCGGAAUCGCUAGUAAUCGCAGAUCAGCAAGCUGCGGUGAAUACGUUCCCGGGCCUUGCACACCGUC
RNAcentral lists this ribosomal RNA (1289 nucleotides) under uncultured candidate division WS6 bacterium. RNAcentral describes it as "partial 16S ribosomal RNA". It matches the Rfam family "Bacterial small subunit ribosomal RNA". The record is from RNAcentral.